GUCGGCUGGUACGCUCCAUGGGAACCAACACGUGCAGGCGAGUUGGCAGGUAACAGGAGGACCAGGAUGUGGAGGUGAGAUGGCAGGAGGACUGGGGCGAGGAACCGGGAAGGUGCUCGAUGUAGCUGGCAGUCAGCUUUUGACCAGAGGCUGGCUUUUGUUUGUGGCAAUCUUAGUUCAAUUCAUGGAUCAUGUCAUCGCUUCAGGAAUCAGGAUGAGAUGGGACAGACAAAGAGCAGUAAGGAGUGGCUUACAUUUACAGGGCCCCUCACCUCCUCAUCCAUCUUCAUAGUAUUCACCUUCUCCUACACGAUUGUGAGACUCAUGCCACUGCAGCAAACAGGUGCACAUUUCACACGCUAUUUGUUUCCCUGUUUUGUCAUUCCACCAAGGUCCAGUGGUCAUCAUUAAUAACCCCAGGCCCUCUCACUACACGUCUCUAUGUCUCCAGGCUGAUGUUUCCUCCAGUCCGCUGGCAGCACUUCCAUGCUCAGAGCCUCUGGUGCACAGAGAAAUGAAGGAGUUAGAUCAGUCCAAAAAAUACAGGGAUCUAAAUCCAGACAGCAAGCUGUGUGAGCCUUCAGAAUACUAAACAACAUUAUGGUGAUUCUGUGCACAACAAACUAGAAAAUACUGUAUGUGUCACAUAGGGGUCUAACAAUCAAUUCUAUUGGUGUUUCAGAUUGUUCUACAAAUGGCAGGAGACUACAUGAUGUGAACUGAUAUAGAAAGAUACACUUUCUUGAGUUUUUCUGUAGUGGAUGGUUGUUGCUUUUAACAUUGAUUUUGUUGCGAGUUCUAAUAUUCUGCUACUGAUAAACCAGACUAAAUGGGUCAGUCAAAACUACACUGAAGUUACAUUGCAUUUAAAUGAAGAUGGAAGUUAUAAAAUAAAUAAAUUGUGUGUCUGCUUUGCAUAUUUAUCCCAUGUCCAUAUUCCCAUGGAUUGGAAGGUGGAGGGUUUGGGACUGGGUUCCAGUAGCCAGUUUCAUUUUGGAUUUGUUUCCCUGUUAGCCAAAGUCCCAGAUUCGUUAAAGCCCUCUCCAAUCAAAAAUGUGUUUUGCUCACUGUUACUUCACUUGAAUGUUUAUGGACCACGGUAUAAAAUUAUGCAUGUGCACAGUGUAACACUAGAGGGCUGUUCUUCUGUGCUUAUAUCAAAUCUCAAUUUAAUAUCUGCAUAUAUGAGCAGGGUUUUGUGACACCAAUUUUAGACAAUCAUGAUCCAAUAUGCAACUUAUGCAAGUGGGAUGUGAUCAUUUCAUAACGUCUUUCAAGUAAAAUGACCAAAAAUGGGGGUUUGGAGCCAAUCCGUUGCAGGUACCUGGAGCAAACUUUCAUCAACAUGGUUACAAUACAAUAAUAAACAAAAGUUAUGAAACAUGGCUUGAUUGUAUUUAGGCACAAAAAUAAUGAUAUUACAGUAGAUUUUGGAAGGAACAUGGUUUGGGUUGCAUAACAAUAAAAAAUAACUCUGGGUUAUAAUAAAAAAGGUUCUCUGUGCAGCUUAAGGGGGAAGAUUUGAACCCUUCAGAGCACAUACUCUAUACUGAGAAUGGCACUUUUGGCAGAGUAGGAGACAUCAUGAGUUCAGUACUUAA
This is a long non-coding RNA of Monopterus albus (swamp eel), 1601 nucleotides long. RefSeq lists it as uncharacterized. The transcript has 3 exons. Lineage: Eukaryota; Metazoa; Chordata; Actinopteri; Synbranchiformes; Synbranchidae. The record is from RefSeq and is a predicted model, not a curated record.